GGGGGGGGGGGGGGGGGGGGGGGGGGGGGGGGGGGGGGGGGGGGGGGGGGGGGGGGGGGGGGGGGGGGGGGUCUCUGAGAUUCAUCUGCAGAAAAUCCCAAAAUCUCUCUGAGUUUCAAAGAGAAAAUCCUGAGAUCCCUCUGAGAUUCAAAUAAAAAAAAAUCUCAGGAAUUCUCUUGAGAUUUAUCCAUAGAAAAUCCUGGGAUCCCUCUGAGAUUCAUCCACACAAAGAGAAAAUCUCAGGAUCUCUCUGAUACUCAAACAGGAAAUCCUGGGAAAUCUGAGAUUUAUCCAUAGAAAAUCUUGGGGAAUCUGGGAGAUUUAUCCAUAAAAAAUCCCAGGAUCCCUCUGAGAUUCAAACAGAAAAUCCUGGGAAAUCUCUGAGAUUUAUCCAUUAAAAUCUUGGGAUCCCUCUGAGAUUCAAACAGAAAAUCCCAAAAUCUCUCUAAAUUUCAAAGAGAAAAUCCCAGGAUCCCUCUGGGAUUCUGGGAUGGAAGAUUAAUACACACACACACACACACAAAAAUACAAAAAAAAGCCAUUUUUGCCUCAGGGUUCCUCCCUUUUUUGCCCCUUGGAGAAGCAAGAGUUGGGAAUUCCAGGAGAACGGGGUGCUGAGGGAAAAAUGCCAAAAAAUGACUUUGCUGGGAAUGUUGCACUUUGGGCUGUGCAGGAGAGGAUGAGUUCAGUUCCCAAAUUUGGGAGAGGCUGAAAAAUCCCAUGGGAUGAGCUUGGAUUGUUUUCCUUGCUGGAUUCCAGAAUUGCCAUCUGAAAGAAGUUCCAAAAGCAGGAAAAAAAAAAUAAAAAACAACUUUAAGGACAUUUUCUUUGGGGGGGGGGGGGGGGGGGGGGGGGGGGGGGGGGAAAAAAAAAAAAAAAAAAACAACUUUAAGGACAUUUUCUUUUUAUUUUUUUUCCCUUCUGGAAUCACUGCUGGGAUGGAGAAGGAAAAUCCCUCACAUCCAAUGCUGUGCUUCCAUAGAAAAAACAGAACUUCCAUCAUUUCUGCUCCCUCAUUUUUCCUUUUAAUCCCAAAUUUCUGUUCCAUAAUCAUGGAGAGACCUCCCAGAAACUCCAGGAAUGUGAAGAGAACUGGAAAAGCAGAGGAGAACAUGCACAGGGUCUUUCCCAGUCCUCUGGCUGGAGCUGCUGAAUUCCAGUCAGAAUUCCCUGGAUUUGGGGCAGAAUUUUGGAGCAGAAUCUUUCACUGGACCUUCAGAAAUUCCCAAAUAUCUUAUUUUGGUAAAGGAUGUUUUUGGAGCUGAUAAAUCAAAGUUUGGGGAGAGUUUAAAUCCAAAUCUUGGUUGGUUUUGGGUGAGGGAUGAGAAAAUUCAGGGCUGGAAUUGGGAUUUUAAAAUUGACCCUGCCAGAGCCUGAAUUUCCUGUGCUGAGCUGCCCAAAUCUCCAAUUUCAGGAUUAAAUUUAAAAUUAAAAAAAAAGUCCCGUGGGACUUGGAAAUAUCCAGGCAGAAGUGCCAGAGUCUCUAAUCCAGCAAGGGGGGAAAAAAGGAAAAAGAAAAAGGUAUUGAGAUGUAAUAAAAUCGGGGAAAAAAUAAAAUCAGGAAAAGAAUUAAAUAACAAAAAAUCAGGGAAAGGAUAAAAUCAGAAAAAAAAAAAUAAAUAAAACCGGGGGGGAAAAACAGGAAAAAAAUAAAAUGGGGAAAAAAAAAUCAGGGAAAAAAUAAAAUAGAGGGGAAAAAAUAUUAGAGUAAAAUGUUAGAUUUGGGGGGGGGGGGGGGGGGGGGGGGGGGGGGGGGG
Molecule: long non-coding RNA, 1757 nt
Organism: Ficedula albicollis (Collared flycatcher)
Lineage: Eukaryota; Metazoa; Chordata; Aves; Passeriformes; Muscicapidae
Source: Ensembl